This is a non-coding RNA of Myotis davidii, 324 nucleotides long. The record is from Rfam. NCBI's taxonomy places the organism in Eukaryota, Metazoa, Chordata, Mammalia, Chiroptera, Vespertilionidae.
GACUAUGAGGGUGAUCUUUCACCCCAUUGAUUGGCAGAGUUGAUUCAGUUGAUAUGGCUGGCUAGGCAGGUGUCCCCUUCCUCCCUCACUGAUCCACAUGGUCCUCCCCAAAGCUGGGCACUCAGUUGAAGAGCACAACCUAUCCCCCUCCACCCAGAGGAAAGGACUGGUCUUCAGUCAAGGGUAUACGAGUAGCUAUGCUCCCUGCUAGAACCUCCAAACAAGUUCUCAAGGCCCGUUUUUAGGAGAACAUCAGGUAGUCAAGCUUCCAAGACUCCAUAUAUAUCCAAAUGAGGCACUGCAUGUGGUAGUCUGCCUUUCUUU